Molecule: ribosomal RNA, 467 nt
Filed under: uncultured bacterium
Lineage: Bacteria
Description: partial 16S ribosomal RNA
Rfam family: Bacterial small subunit ribosomal RNA
Source: RNAcentral
GACGAACGCUGGCGGCGCGCCUAACACAUGCAAGUCGAACGGAGUCAAGAGGAGCUUGCUUUUCUUGACUUAGUGGCGAACGGGUGAGUAACGCGUGAGUAACCUGCCCUGGAGUGGGGGACAACAGUUGGAAACGACUGCUAAUACCGCAUAAGCCCACGGAUCUGCAUGGAUCUGCGGGAAAAGGAUUUAUUCGCUCUAGGAUGGACUCGCGUCCAAUUAGCUAGUUGGUGAGGUAACGGCCCACCAAGGCGACGAUUGGUAGCCGGACUGAGAGGUUGAACGGCCACAUUGGGACUGAGACACGGCCCAGACUCCUACGGGAGGCAGCAGUGGGGGAUAUUGCACAAUGGGGGAAACCCUGAUGCAGCGACGCCGCGUGGAGGAAGAAGGUUUUCGGAUUGUAAACUCCUGUCGUUAGGGACGAUAAUGACGGUACCUAACAAGAAAGCACCGGCUAACUACGU